GUUUCCCACUGCCAAAGAUUAUGCAGUUGAGUUCUCCACAUUUGGGGAAAUUGCAGGGAUCAGCACAUCCAGAGUGCAAUGAAUAAGCCUCACCCUGGGAAAAUCACCUUUGUGAUGAUGGUAUUUCACCUCCUAGAAAGAAUCUACAAAAUUUAUGAAGAAGUAGGUUGUAAGGAGCUACUUAAGCAAGAAUAUCUUUCUGGCUGGAGAGACAUGGUUCUUCAUGGAGUCUACAGACAGGGAACAUCCUUUUCGAAC
This 258-nucleotide long non-coding RNA is filed under the name Homo sapiens (human). RNAcentral's name for it is "HSALNT0310814". Lineage: Eukaryota; Metazoa; Chordata; Mammalia; Primates; Hominidae. The record is from RNAcentral.